RNAcentral lists this ribosomal RNA (465 nucleotides) under uncultured bacterium. RNAcentral describes it as "partial 16S ribosomal RNA". It matches the Rfam family "Bacterial small subunit ribosomal RNA", at positions 28 to 507 of the family's 1533-position model. The record is from RNAcentral.
GACGAACGCUGGCGGCGUGCUUAACACAUGCAAGUCGAACGGAAAGGCCCCUUUGGGGGUACUCGAGUGGCGAACGGGUGAGUAACACGUGAGUAACCUGCCCUUGACUUCGGGAUAACUUCAGGAAACUGGGGCUAAUACCGGAUAGGAAUCCUUGCUGCAUGGUGGGGGUUGGAAAGCUUCGGCGGUUUUGGAUGGACUCGCGGCGUAUCAGCUUGUUGGUGGGGUAGUGGCUUACCAAGGCUUUGACGGGUAGCCGGCCUGAGAGGGCGACCGGCCACAUUGGGACUGAGAUACGGCCCAGACUCCUACGGGAGGCAGCAGUGGGGAAUAUUGCACAAGGGGCGGAAGCCUGAUGCAGCAACGCCGCGUGCGGGAUGACGGCCUUCGGGUUGUAAACCGCUUUCAGCAGGGGCGAAGCUUGUGGUGACGGUACCUGCAGAAGAAGCACCGGCUAACUACGUG